GUGCCAGCAGCCGCGGUAAUACCGGCAGCCCGAGUGAUGGCCACUAUUAUUGGGCCUAAAGCGUCCGUAGCCGGCCUCGCAAGUCCGUCGGGAAAUCCAGUAGCUCAACUACUGGGCGACCGGCGGAAACUACAAGGCUUGGGACCGGAAGGCUCGAAGGGUACGUUCGGGGUAGGAGUGAAAUCCCAUAAUCCCGCACGGACCACCGAUGGCGAAAGCACUUCGAGAAAACGGAUCCGACAGUGAGGGACGAAAGCCAGGGUCUCCAACCGGAUUAGAUACCCCUGUAGUUC
Molecule: ribosomal RNA, 293 nt
Filed under: uncultured bacterium
Lineage: Bacteria
Description: partial 16S ribosomal RNA
Rfam family: Archaeal small subunit ribosomal RNA
Source: RNAcentral